GAUGAACGCUGGCGGCGUGCCUAAUACAUGCAAGUCGAGCGAAUGGAUUAAGAGCUUGCUCUUAUGAAGUUAGCGGCGGACGGGUGAGUAACACGUGGGUAACCUGCCCAUAAGACUGGGAUAACUCCGGGAAACCGGGGCUAAUACCGGAUAACAUUUUGAACCGCAUGGUUCGAAAUUGAAAGGCGGCUUCGGCUGUCACUUAUGGAUGGACCCGCGUUGCAUUAGCUAGUUGGUGAGGUAACGGCUCACCAAGGCAACGAUGCGUGGCCGACCUGAGAGGGUGAUUGGCCACACUGGGACUGAGACACGGCCCAGACUCCUACGGGAGGCAGCAGUAGGGAAUCUUCCGCAAUGGACGAAAGUCUGACGGAGCAACGCCGCGUGAGUGAUGAAGGCUUUCGGGUCGUAAAACUCUGUUGUUAGGGAAGAACAAGUGCUAGUUGAAUAAGCUGGCACCUUGACGGUACCUAACCAGAAAGCCACGGCUAACUACGUGCCAGCCGCCGCGGUAA
This 515-nucleotide ribosomal RNA is filed under the name uncultured bacterium. RNAcentral describes it as "partial 16S ribosomal RNA". It matches the Rfam family "Bacterial small subunit ribosomal RNA", at positions 28 to 523 of the family's 1533-position model. The record is from RNAcentral.